GGAGCUAAUCCCUUAAAGCUACUCUCAGUUCGGAUUGUAGGCUGAAACUCGCCUACAUGAAGCUGGAGUUACUAGUAAUCGCAGAUCAGAAUGCUGCGGGGAAUGCGUUCCCGGGUCUUGUACACACCGCCCGUCACACCACGGGAGUUGGAGACGCCCGAAGCCGAUUAUCUAACCUUUUGGAAGAAGUCGUCGAAGGUGGAAUCAAUAACUGGGGUGAAGUCGUA
RNAcentral lists this ribosomal RNA (227 nucleotides) under Clostridioides difficile. RNAcentral's name for it is "partial 16S ribosomal RNA". It matches the Rfam family "Bacterial small subunit ribosomal RNA", at positions 1264 to 1490 of the family's 1533-position model. The record is from RNAcentral. Lineage: Bacteria; Bacillati; Bacillota; Clostridia; Peptostreptococcales; Peptostreptococcaceae.